UCGUGCUCAUCGGUGGCCAGCAAGGGCCGCUUCGUCGUGUACACUGCUGACGGUGCGAGGUUCGAAGUGCCGCUUGGGUUCCUUGGCACGACGGUCUUCGGCGAGCUCUUGAGGAUGUCCCAGGAGGAGUUUGGAUUUGCAGGCGUUGACAGUGGCAGAAUCAUGCUGCUGCCCUGUGACGCACCGGUGAUGGAGUACGCCAUGUGCUUGCUCAGGAGAAGCACCUCCGCGGAGAUGGAGGCCGCCUUCCUCCAUUCCAUGAUGAUGCCAUGCCACUAUCAUGCGGCAGCAAAUCUGGGAGUUAGGCAGUAUUUUGGUGUCUGCACCUCCUAA
RNAcentral lists this ribosomal RNA (333 nucleotides) under Triticum aestivum (bread wheat). Its description in RNAcentral is "partial small subunit ribosomal RNA". The record is from RNAcentral. Lineage: Eukaryota; Viridiplantae; Streptophyta; Magnoliopsida; Poales; Poaceae.